This 40159-nucleotide long non-coding RNA is filed under the name Glycine max (soybean). RNAcentral's name for it is "long non-coding RNA (GMAX_LNC000657)". Lineage: Eukaryota; Viridiplantae; Streptophyta; Magnoliopsida; Fabales; Fabaceae. The record is from RNAcentral.
UCUUGCUGUGGCUUCCUCAUGGCUGGAGCUGUGACUCUUAGACCUCCUUUCACUGUCACAAUGGCUCCACUAUCCUCCUCUUCGUUCUCACCUUGUAGGUUUCUCACUAUCUGCAUGUUCACGCCGAACGCUUCUUUCAAGAAUUCAGGGGCGAAGCCACUCAAUAUGUUGCUUCCUUCGUUUUCUUCUUCUUGUUGCUUUCCUUUCUGGCUUUGGGAACCUCCUUGCUGCUGCUGCUGAUAUUUUAGAAACUCUUGCUCUUGGUUCCCAGCAAGAUAGAAUCUCUGCCAAGAAUUGUCAAAACAAAUAGUUGUCAAUCCGUAACCAGCUAGUAUUAGAACUUAAGAAUUCUAAUCUUAACGUUACAAUGUAGUCCAGUUUCCUUUUUUUAUCAGCUACAAUAUUGUCCAUGUAUUUCAAGACAAGAACCAAAUUGGAUAAAAAAACACAACUAUAAGGAUCCAAUUGGCAUAUUUUAAUCUAUAGGUACUAAAUUAGAAAGUGCAACUCCACGAACUAAAAUGAUAUUUAAACCUUUAAAGAAUUAUAAUAUCUAAUAUUGCUAUGUGGCUCACCCUAGGCAUCUGGUCGAGCUGGUUCUCCAAGCUGUUGGUGUCAAUAAUAGAAACGGCAACAACAGGAGUGUCUUCAUUGUUGUACAUCCACCAUGCAACACCAGUAGGCACUGCGAUCAAAUCACCCUCUCUGAAGCGAUGUACCUUUUGGUGACGGUCUUGGGGCCUCUGGCUUCGUCCUCGUUGCUGAGAUUCUUGCGGCUCUUGAUAAGUGCUAGGACAACCCGGGAAUAUCAUGCCAAAAAUACCAUUACCUAUUCAUAUAUAUUACACAACAACACAAAGAAAAAAAAAACAUUAGCAUAACCAUUUUCUUUUCAAAAUGCAUGGUUUCACAAAACUGAGAAAUUGAAACAAGUUAUUAUUAAUUUGAAUAUAUAAGAUAGGUUGGACGGUUAAGAAGAAAAACAAAAGCCACAGUUUCAAUCAAUUUUACUAACAAAAACUAACCAUUAACAUCUGAUAAAAAAAAAAUUAAACAAGAUUAUGGACCUUGUUGUAUGUAGAUUUCCUGGGGACCGUUGGUGUAGGAAGGUCUACGAAGGGCAUUGCGGUUAAGGGUGCAGCGAGAGAGGGCAACACCGGCACACUGGAAUGGCUUGUUGUUAGGGUUCCAGGUCUCAAUGAACCCACCUUCCGACUCUAUACGGUUAUCCGGUUUGAGGGCAUUCAGCUUUUGGAUCUGGCACUCAUUUUGCUGUGCCUGCUCUCUCAGAGCGAAGCAGCCACUGAAAAGAAGGAAACAAAGGGAAAGAACAAGCUUGGCCAUGGUGAUGAGUGUUCAAAGACAAUGGAGAGAAUGUUUGUGUUGUGAAGCGGAGAACCUGAGGCGUGGUUAUUUAUAGGGAAGAGAGGAAGGUGGGUGAGGGACACGUCACAGGAGUGGGGUGCUGAGCUUGAGACAUUCUUCAGUAUGCAUGGCUAUGGAAGCCUUGUGUGUUACACCUCAUUAAGUUCAUGGGUGUGAGGUGGCUUCGACAGUUCGACAUCAACAUUAUGUGACAAAUACCAAGUGUGUUUGUAUUGCAUGCAAUUGCCAGAAAACGGUGGUGGAGAGGGGGACCAUGGUUUCAUUUCAUGUUCGCGGGUUUAUGACAUAUGAAAUUAUAUGAAUACACCGUGUGACAAUGAUGGGAUCCUCAAAGUGAGAAGAAGGGCCGUCCAAAAAUGACCUCACUCUAGGGAUAGAGAAAUUAUUAGGUGUUAUGAAAUUAUCACUAUUCAUGGUUUUGACAGAUCUUUAUGUGAUACUAGUUACUCAAUUUUUUUUAAUUUAAUUAGGAAAUAAUUAAUCAUACUUUAAUUUACAUAUCAUAAAGAUUAGUGGAGAAUAAUUUGUACUGUAUAUAUAAUAAUUUCUUGGAUAGAGAAAUUAUAUAUUAGGGACAUUUUGUUUUUUGGAUUAUCCUCGUUUUGAUUGUCAAUAUAAAAAAAAAGUAAGCGAAAAUAAGAAGAAAAUGACUAAGUUUUAAACAAUUAUAUUAGUUAAACAAAAAUACUUAUAUGUUUUAGGUCUAUAAUAAAUAUGAUUAAUUUUAUUUUGAGUUCUAAUUUUAAUUUUUUUUUCUUUGUAUUGGAUUCUUAUAUCUUAAAAAAUUUAUUUUGACUCUUUAUCAUAGGUAGGUUAGUAAUGACAUAUCAAUCAAUUAACAAAUUACAAAGUCAGAGUUUAAAAACUGUGGGUAUUUCUGAUAGAAAAUAAUCUGGAUUGUCUCUAACUCAUUAGCCUCUCGAUUUUGUCAGGUUCGGGCUUAGUGAAUGCAACGGAUUCUUGGGUGUGUUCCAAUCUGCGUUGUGGCUUGGUUUCUUUUGCGGCCUCAAACACUUUCUUCUUCUCCGGAGGAAGUUUUUUAAACCCUCAUCCGAAUAAAGUAACCCCAUGUAAGCAAUUUUUAAACCCGUAUAGUCCGAAUAAACAAUUUGAAACCGCCCGAUUGUGUCUUUUUAUUUAUUCCUUUAGUGUGGGUUUGGUUCGAGCUUCUCUCGGGUUUAUGCUCAGCCCUAGCUACUACCAUUAUUCAUUUAAAAAAUAAGUUACAAUUUGUGACAGUUUGAAAGCUGUCAGAAUCAAUUAAAACAAAAAAAAUUAAAAAAUUAAAUGUAUUUUGAUCCUCCUAUUUUAUCAAAUCCAUAAAUUUGGUUUUUUAGUUUUAAGAUUUUAAAAUUGAGACCGUUAAUUCCUCUCUUUUCUAAAAUCAGGAAAUUAAAUUUUUCUGUCAAAUUAGUUGUGUUGACCAAAUGUUGACUGUUAAAAUUUUCUUUCUUCUUUUUCCUUUUGCUUUCACAUAAACCUCAGUCUUAUUUGUUCAAGGAAUUAUGCACAUUUUGUGCCCACUGUCCAUGGCUGCCAAAAGUUUCUUGGUUAUUCGAGUCAAUUAAUGCAACAAUCUGGAUAGAUUAAUUGUAGUUCUAUGCAAUGAUUAAGAACUAUCAAAGCAUUAAGAACUUGUAGCUCCUCACACACGAGAAAUAAGAAAUGGACAAGAAUGAGAAUGAGGACUCGAGCCUAAAAUUUAAGGCCAUGGACACCAAAUAUACGGGAAUGAUUGCACAUUUUGCAGGAAAUAAGUAGUGAGCCACAAACAUAAUUCCAUUUAUUCAAAGAAUAGUUAAGUUAUCAUCUUUAUAUAUUUUAAACACUUAAAUUAGCACCUUUACAUUAAAAGAACGCACACUAAUAUUAUUAAAAAAAGUAUUCAUCAUUUUGUAGGCCAACUUAAAAUAUAAUAUAUUAUAUAUAUAUAUAUAUAUAUAUAUAUAUAUAUAUAUAUAUAUAUAUAUAUAUAUAUAAUAUUAAAAUACUUAAUGUUUCUCACCUUUUUUAUGUUUGUUAUCAUAUAAAAAAACAUAGAUGAAUUUUAAAAAGUAAAUUAUUUACCAUCAAUUUAUAUAUUUGUUAAGCUACACAUAUUUUUUUAUUAGAGUUCUUUUUUUGUGUGUGUAAAAAUAUAUGUGAUGUCCUGUCAUUCUAUGUUUUACACAUUAGCUAUGCGAGAGUGUCUGUGCUCAUAUUGUGUCUGAUGUCCAUGUCGAAUUUCAAGCUUCAAAAUAUCAACUAACUAACUUGUGAGUCAAAUUACCGAUUGGGGGUAAUUUUUUUUAAAAUUUAUCAUUUGAGGAUAGAUUUUAAAUUAAUAUUCGUUUAAGGUUUAUGAAUUGAAAGUCAUGAAAAUGAAAUUAAUAUUUCUUGAAACCAAUAUCUAUUUAGUGUGGACAAUGGACAUCAAGACAUCAUAUGCAACACCAUCCUUGACUCUGUUGAAAAUUAAAAUCCCAGAAAAACACAUUUUUUAGCUCCCAUGUUAAAUUUGGAGCGAUGUUUUAUGUUUGAAGACACAAAGCACAAUGGUCCAAAUACUCUCGAACUUUCCAAGUUGGGUUGAGCUCCAAGUCAUGAAGAACCUGAUAAGACGUCUUCAUUCUUAAAGUUAAUCUUCAACUAUUGGGUCUGCAAUACUUUCAAUUUUAGUCUUCUACAUCAUGUCCUGUCCUGCCAACACUUCCUAAAGAUAUCAUCGAUCAAGCUAACUAUCAUUGGACCAAUCGUUAUUGUUUGCCUUUUGUUUUGCAAGAAGCUCAGAAGAAAGAAAAAAAAAAGAGAGAGAGAGAGAGACAAAAGAAGAUUUGACAGAAAACUCAUUGGAAUUUCUCCUUUUAUUCCCGCAAAAGUUUCGUGACUCAUUAUAGAGAGUACUUACAUUAUUAUUUUACAGUGAACAAAAGGCAAGCUAAAGCCUUUGUUUUCUUAUUCAUUAUUAUUAUUAUUAUUUAUUGGUUGCUAGCACUAUUGCCAAAAAGACAAAAGUGGGGUAGCACAUACAAAAAGGGCUCUAAGCCACAGCUCUCUUCUGAGACUCCUGAGGUGGAACCAGGAACUUGAAAGGGUUGUUGUUCUUUAUCUGCCUGGCCUGCUGGCUUUUUAGGUUGAAAGUGUGCUGAAUCACUUCCUCUGGUAAUGCGUUCAACAAUGAGUUUGCCCCUGCAAGAGUGCCGAUCAUGGGUGUAUCAUUGGUCUUGAAUGACACAUACUCGAAGUUGUCACUCUGUGAUCUUGCAGCCACCACAAAGUUUUGUGGCACGAUCAGCACCCGUCCCUCUUGCAGCUCUCCAUCAAACACUCUCUCACCGUUGCAAUUCACCACUUGUAUCAAUGCCCGUCCAUUCAAUGCGUAUAUUAUGCUGUUCGCGUUCAGGUUGUAGUGUGGCACGAACAUUGCAUUCUGCAUCGUACAUCAAUGCAUGCAAGAGUCACAACAAAUUCAUCCAAUAUUUUUAUAAUAAUACUAUUUUUUGUUUUGCUUUUUUCAUCAAUCUUUUCUUUUUUUUUCUCUCUAUUUCUAUAUAUAAAGACAGAAAAGAUAGAAUCCAUGCAAGUGUUAAGAUAACUCCGUCACACAUUUUAUAGUGUAUCUAAGAUUAUUAUUAAUCAAUAAAUCAUUAGUCUAAGUAUAAAUAAUGUAAUUAAGAUGAAAGACUCCAUUAAAAGUGAUCAAACAAAUUUUCUAAAAAAAUUAAUUAUCAAUAAAAUUAAUAAAUAUUUGGCAACAAAUAUUAGUUUAAUGUAUAAAUGUAUGUUGAUCUUUGAUGAAUGAUGUACGUACCUUGCGGAGAGAUCCAAACUCAGCACUGAGUCUGAGCCACGAGAGGGCUGGGAAGUCAAGGCUGGUGGCGGUUGUGACGCUACCGGCUUGAGGGUUGUAGAUGUCAGGUGAUGAAGUCUGGCCAAUGUUGUGGCGAAGUCUCAUGGUGCAUAUGGUCUCGUCAAUGCCAUUUCUUCUGCUUUUGCUUUGGCUUCCUCGGGGGCGUUGGCAGUGUUUGUCUUUACCCUUGCACUGUGGCUUCUCAUCCUCUUCUUCUUCUUCCUCUUCCUGGGGUCUUUGUUGCUGCUCGUCCGUGGGUGGUUUUAUCACGCUCAGACCUCCUUUCACUGUCACAAUGGCUCCCUUGUCUUCCCCUUCGUUCUCUCCUUGUAGGUUUUUCGCUAUCUGCUUGUCCACGCUGAAUGCAUGUUCCAAGAAUUCCAGGGUGAAGCCACUCAAUAUGCUGCCUCCUUCGUUUUCUUCUUCUUGCUGAUGCUUUCCUUUCUGGCUUUGAUGACCUCCUUGCUCUUGCUGAUAUUUUAGAAACUCUUGCUCUUGGUUCCCAGCAAGAUAGAAUCUCUGCCAAGAAUUGUCAAAACAAAUAGUUGUCAAUCUGUAACCAGCUAGUAUUAGAACUUAAGAAUUCUAAUCUUAACGUUACAAUGUAGUCCAGUUUCCUUUUUUUAUCAGCUACAAUAUUGUCCAUUUAUUUCAAGACAAGAACCAAAUUGGAUAAAAAAACACAACUAUAAGGAUUCAAUUGGCAUAUUUUAAUCUAUAGGUACUAAAUUAGAAAGUGCAACUCCACGAACUAAAAUGAUAUUUAAACCUUUAAAGAAUUAUAAUAUCUAAUAUUGCUAUGUGGCUCACCCUAGGCAUCUGGUCGAGCUGGUUCUCCAAGCUGUUGGUGUCAAUAAUAGAAACGGCAACAACAGGAGUGUCUUCAUUGUUGUACAUCCACCAUGCAACACCAGUAGGCACUGCGAUCAAAUCACCCUCUCUGAAGUUAUAGAUCUUCUGGUGACGGUCUUGUGGUCUGCUGCUUUGUCCUCUUUGUUGAGGUUGUUGAGGCUCUUCAAAUGUGCUAGGACAACCCGGGUAUAUCAUGCCAAAAAUACCCUUACCUAUUCAUAUUACAAAACAACAAACAAACAAAAAUUAGGAACCCAACAUUAUCAAUGAUAUGAUUAUGUUACGUCAUAUGGAAGAAAUCAAAACAAAAAUUUUAAUAUAUAAAAACUCAAAACAAAAAAAAUUAUUAAAAAUCUAAAAUAAAAUUCCCUCAUUUAUCAAACCCUUAAACAUAUUUAAGUCUAUUAUAUAUUUAUAUGUGAAGUUUGGACAAGAUGGACCUUGUUGGAUGUAGAUUUCCUGGGGACCGUUGGUGUAGGAAGGUCUACGAAGGGCGUUGCGGUUGAGGGUGCAGCGAGAGAGGGCAACACCGGCACACUGGAAUGGCUUGUUGUUAGGGUUCCAUGUCUCAAUGAGCCCUCCUUCUGACUCUAUACGGUUAUCCGGUUUGAGGGCAUUGAGUUUUUGGAUCUGGCACUCGUUUUGCUGAGGCUGCUCUCUGGAACUGAAAGCGAAGCAGCAGCCACUGAAAAGCAGAAAACAAAGGGAAAAAACUAGCUUGGCCAUGGUGAUGACUGAUGAGUGUUUAAGGACCAAUGGAGAGAAUGUUUGAGUUGUGAAGCGGAGAACCUGAGGCGUGGUUAUUUAUAGGGAAGAGAGGAAGGUGAAUGAGGGACACGUCACAGAAGUAGGGUGCUGAGCUUGAGACAUUCUUCAGUAUGCAUGGCUAUGGAAGCCUUGGGUGCUACACCUCAUGAAGUUCAUGGUGUGAGGUGGCUUCGGCAUCUCAAUUAAGUGACAAAGAGAAAGGUGUUUCAGUGUUUCUAUUGCAAAUGGCAGAAACUCGUGAUGACGAGGGGACCAUGCAUGGUUUCAUUUCUUUUCUUCCUGGAUUCUUUCUUUCCUUUUAUAUAUGCAGGUUCAUAAUUUAAAAAUUAGACUCGCUUUCAAUUUCUUAAUUUCUCAUUUUCCUCUUAUAUUACUGUACUAAUGUUAACCACGUACACUUAUUUUUUUUUUAGUUUAAUUUUGAUAGAUUGUGUUGAUUUAAACAUAUUAAUAUUUUCAACCAAAUAAAAAUCAUUUUAGUAGAUACGGCUUUUUAAAUAAUUAUUAAAAAUAUUAACUAUUUAUCCUAAAUGGCACAUUUUAAUUAAAAAAAAUCCGGUGUUGUAAGUGUUUUAUUAAUUUGUUUUGGCAUUAUUAAAGCAACUUUUUUUUUAUUUGUUGGCAUUUUGAGUACGUACUUAGGCUACCUCCUAUAUGAAAGUGAUUGAGUUGUUUUUGCUUAUUAAAUGCCAUGCUUAAUAAGAACCUUUUAUGAAAGUUUGUGGUUAUUUUGAUUAAAUUAUAUCACAAUAAUAUUUAUAAAACAGAUAAAAGUUAAUGUCGAUGAAUGUAAGAGUGUCAAGUUACUUGUGGAGUCUAUUUAAUAAAAUUUUAAAGUUGUUGGUUUUGGUGAUAAAAGUUACAUAAUGUAAAAGGUAAGAAAUAAGUUAUAUAUAUAAAGGGUGAGACUACUUAAGAUGUGAAAAAGGUUGAGAGAAAAAAAAUAGAUGUUGAGUUGGAAAAGCUCAUGAUUUACUUCUUUGAAAAUAGAAAAAUAUAUAAAUAAUUAUAAUCGGAUUGAUGAUUAUUUAAAUAAAAUCUAAAAAUUGUGUUUGUGUUUUAUAAGAGAGAAUUCAAAUCCUCAAAGUACUUAUAAGCAUACAGCUACUUUUUCUUUCCUGUCAAUACUUUUUUUUUCUAUUCUUCUGUUUUUUAGUUCUUAUAUAUUAGUUUCUUCUCUCUAUAAAAUAAGGUGGAACUAGAUUGAUGUUUUUUCUAAAUCCCUAAACUUUUUUUCUUUCCUAUUUUGACGAGGUUUGUAAUUUUUGAAUAAUUUCCUUGUUACCAUUUUAUUUAAAGUUUUUGGCUGACAUUUUUCCUUUUAAAACUUGAAGCUUGUGUUGUUGAACCACUUUUAAAAAGAAGAAAAAUUAAUUACAGGUUUUAAGUGUUGUUUGUAUUGUUCUCCAAUUAAAAUUGGAGUUUAAUUUAAUCUACAUAUUUUUUUUUAGUACAAAUCUUGAGAUAAAUUUCAAUUCUAAUAACAGAACAUGACAAACAGCAUGUUAAGAACUAUAUUUAAAUUUUGUCCAAUCAAAAAACCCUUUUCUUGCUUAAUGAUGGAGCUAUAUAUUGUUCUACAUAUUUCAAGUUUCUUAUUCCAUUAUAGUACUACAUUGUUUAUUGAGAGAAGAAAUAUAUAGCACUAUAUAUAUUGUUAACUAAUUAUGAGCUAAAUUUUAAAAAGUGUAGAAUAUAUAACUUGUAGUCACCCUUGCGUGGUUCAAUCUUCAUCACUCCAUGCUCUGCAACUUGAAUCAAGAAACUGGUGAUUGGUGAAUGUUCAUCACUCUAAGCCCAAUCUGACAAACCUAGCUACGUGAUAAACUCACUCCAGCACGUGCUAAGGGAAGGAAGGUACUAUCCACAUUUGCAAGGUAACCUCUAAUGUGGACCCUGCAACUGAGUUUUGUACAUUUAGGACUCGCAGAGCCGGGGUACUUGGUCAGAUAAAAUGUGAGAGUAGUUCUCCAACAGCUGCACAAAGUAAAUUAUUGCUUGCUAUGCAACUUGUAGAUUUACUUGCUAUGCAACUUGUAGAUACAAUGCAGUAAUAUUACGAUAAGAACAAGGCCAAAAUGACAAAUAAUACUCCAAUCAGUUAAUAAUGUGAAGAACGUUACCUUUUUCAGAGUCCAAUGCAUCAUCAAUAUCACCAACCAACACAGAUGCAGAUCCCACAUGAGCAUGGCUGCAUGGCUCCUGCAUGCAUCAUACCACCUGUCACUUAGAAUGCAGCAUCGUGACAGUUGAACCCACCGUUACCCAUGCAACUACUUGGAUAGCAAACAAAAUUAAUUCUACCUUAUAAAAUCAUGGUCAAACAAUGAAAAAGUAGAAGCAAUCAUUUGUUGCUUCACCUUCACCAUGAAUAUAUUCAAAACACCCUAUUAAUUCCCCCUUGACCAUUAUUCCCAACGGAUUCAGUUAUGUGUAGGAGUUAGCUUGUAAGUUGUAACUAGAAAUGUACGUGUAAACCAUCUUGUAUAUAUGCCAUACCAGUACUGAUUUCAACUGACUGAAUGAAUAUACAACUUUUCUCUCCAAAUUUGUUAAUCAUAUUCACCUAAUAUGAGAAGAGGAGAGGGCUUGUGAGGAGCCCCAUUCAGAACUUGCACACGUAACUCCUAGUUGAAAUUUUAAAGUGAAAAUGCUAUCCAAUGAGAGAGUUUUAUAUGUUCUUUUAUUGAAUGCAAAUAAUAUCUGAAGAUGAAUGGGAUCCUUCACUAUAAUUGUACAUCAAUCUGUAUUGAAAACAUGGAAACAACACACAAUAAACUAAUAAAGUGUCCAAAAUGCACAACUACUGUGUCAAAGUAUGCUAAACUCUGUAUCUAUCCCAUCAAUAUUUUAAACCUAUAUUUCAGCUUUGCAACAUCAUAAUAGCAAUUCAAAUUUCCUCCCCUAAACACAAUUUUCAUUUUCAUCACACUCAGAAGGUCUUCACCAAAAAAGGACUCUGCUUCUACAUUCAUUUGUCAAUAUAUACAAGAAAUUCUUACGUGCUUCCAAAGCUAGAAUUUUCUCUUGAUUUAUACUAUUGAAUGUGUAUCACAUCAACAAGGUGGCCAUCACUAUCUGAGUCAAAUGCAUUAGUAGUGCUAUAUCUGAUGUGGUACACGUUUAUAUUAGAAAUACAGAGUAAGCGAUUUUCCUGGCACUUGUAGCACCUGAGAAUUUCUCUAGUCAAAAUAAGAGCAAACUGGAUAUAACUGAUUUUUCUUCAGAUCCAGCCUUUCCCUAUUUAAAUUGUUCAUGGUUUCUCUUGAGCUCAUCAGAGCUAGAAAUCAGAUUUUUGGAUGCAAUGGAUUUCAUCACCCAAUAACAACAUAAAAUUGAUCAAUUAAACCAUUAUAAGAGCCAUGAUUCUUGAAUUUCUGAUACGAAACGCUACACUACAUACUACUGCUAAGGAACUAAGAAGGAAACUAAUGGAGAUAAUUGUUCUGAUUGAUUCUUCAUUCCACUUUAUUUACAUAUUUAUACUAAUAUGCUAAUAGAAUGCAAUUUGUUGUAACAGAAUUAUCACCAUCAACGAUUCUUCAUUCCACUUUAUUUACAUAUUUAUACUAAUAUGCUAAUAGAAUGCAAUUUGUUGUAACAGAAUUAUCACCAUCAACAAACUAGUGGAAUGUUGUAACUAAUUAAUGAAGAUUUCUGCAACCAUUUAGUGCCUUUGUGCAUUUUGGCGCUCAAACGAAGUCCUGUAGGUAAGUGGCUUCUGUAUUGUGACCUGUGUGGUAUUCUACUGAAUUGCUAUCAAUUUCAAUCAUACCAACCAACGUAGCAUGUGAGACGUAAAGUGUAUAUGUUUGGUUUUUUCUCUUGCCCCCAUAAGAAUUUAGAUAUAGGAUUAAUUGUUAACAAUAAAUUUGCAGUUCACUUGUGCACAUGCUGCUUCAUUAUAGGUAGCGCUAAACCUCAAGUUUCAGGUAAAAAACGUGACAUGCAAUCCUCCUUUACAACAAGCAAGUGACAAAACACAAACUAAACAAACAAAGUAGUCAUUUCUAUAUAACUUACAAAACAAAACAUUAUUAUCAUAAAUAAAACUCAAACAAGAGUCCGAUUUUCUAAUCUGUACUCCAAUGUGCGCGAUUAGUUGUCUCCACACUCUAUGCACUAACAACAGUACUAACUUCAUCCCCUUCUCGCAUUAAUAAUAUAAGGAAGCGGAUCAAAAUGUGGGAACCACUUAAUAUUAUGAGAAACUAGCAUGAUCUCACAAGGAUGUUAUCACAAUCCUCGGGAUGGAAACUCCUGCCAAUUACACAUUUGGGCAAUGUAAAUCACCCGCAUAGAAGGACUAUAGCUUAUUACAAGAUAUGAACAAAGACAAGAUAAAAUGCGAAUUAGAAGAUACAUAUGCCAACUAUGCUUUGCUCAUUCGGUAUCUCGCUUGAAACUAGAUUCAGCAUUCUUCUCCUUCGUGCCAUCAUCUACUAUUUUAGUUUCAGCAAGACCAUCCACUAUUUUAGUUUCAGCAAGAUCAUCUCUCUCGCCCUCAGUUGCAUUGACUUCAAGAGUGUUAGACUUUUGGGGAAGCUUUCGAUCCAGAUUCUGAGCAGCUUCAGAUUCUUCAUUUUCGGGUACUUCAUUGGGGUUUUGAACAGCUUUGGCAUCAUGCUUGUCAGUGUCAGCAUUUUGAGGUUGUUGUGCCCCAGAACUUUGAGCAGCAUCUAACUCCUCAUAUUUAGAAACAAUCUGCUGCAGCUCGUCAUUGAGAUAUAAAGCCUCAAAAAGUGUUGCUUCAUCGUUUGUAGUGCUUUCCACUAUCCCCUUGAUGAUAGAGAGAGAUUGCUUGCACUUAUCCAACAAGCUCACGGUUAAAUCUUCCUACAGCCACACAAAAUUAUUGCAAAUUCCAUCAUCAAACAACUAUUCUGUCAGCAAUAUAGAGAAGAAAAUAAAGGGCAAAUACUUCUUCUAUAAACACUUACAAGAAAAGAAACUACAAAACAGAGUAGAUGAACCUUCUGCCAUAAGUUAAAAUCAACUUAUGCAUCUCAACUUUUGGAUAAGUUAAAUGAGAAUUUAUUCUACAGAAGUUGGAACGCAAAAGUUGAUUUUAACUUGUCAGAGAAGUUUAAUAUAUCUUAACUUUUUAUUUUCUUCUUCUCCUACAAGUACUUAUUGAAAAGUCUGUCCGAACAAGGCCAUAUAUAGCAAUUAUCUAACAGUAGUAGAUGGAAAGCAUGGGGAAAAAAAAAAAGAGGAAAAAGAAAGACUGGAUGCAUACAAAAAAACAUCAUGAUGAAGUAGUAUACAAAACACCAAUUUAUUAUUCGGGUAAUGUUGAUUUUCUCUAACAUCAAGAUGUUUACCUUCAAAGUUUUAGGCUCUGCAUCAGAAUUCAAUAUGCUAGAGAGCAAUUCGAGACUGUUUCGAGCAACCACAAGAUGCUCUUUCCUCUCUUCAACUGAUAUGUGUUGGUAAUUAGAAGAGAAAGCUGCUGGAUCAUCAAUAUCAUGUAGUUCAGCUUGAGGAAUUGGGUAUCUUUCAGGGGCAUCUACAUAUGACUCUGAGGCAUACGGAACAUGUGGUGAAUUUCCUCCCGCCAUGUCAACCGGUUCAUCCCUUCCUUUCAAACUCUGCCAUCAAAAAGAUAGGAUGAAGGAUUCAAAUAAAUGUGAAAGAGAAGGAUGCAAGAGAAUCUAUCACAGUAAAAUGUAGAAAUAGAAGGCAUUGCAUAAAGUGCAGAAAAUAAGUGAGAACAUGAAGCCCAAUACAAUUACAUUUCAAAAUCAAUAUUCUGUACAAGAUAAAAAUCCCCAGCGUCACCUGAGAAAUGAGUAUACCCCAUUUUAAUCAAUACUCCCUGAAUAUGCUGGGCGUAUUUAUAGCAGUCCCUGAAUUAGAAAAAUAUCAAAUAAAUUCCUAAAAUUUAAAAAAUUUAUUCGACAUUUAUCUAAUUUCAAGGACUAGUACGAUAGUGUCUCACAAAUUCAGGUACUAAAAUAGGAUUUACUAUGGGAGAAAGCUUCUUCUUUUUUUUUUUUUUUUGUCCAGACCACAGGUAUCAAGACAAGAGUAACAAACAAGUAAUCCAGUUAUGGCAAUAUCCUCAAUCAGUAAAAAUAAAUAAAUAAACAGACCAUAUAAGUUUGACGAAAGACGGGAAGAUAAGCGAGAUCCUCGGACUCGCCCCAGGCCCGAAUCAACUGAAAAGCCCGGCUGCGGGUCUGGUGAUGGGCCUGCGGGUUAUCGAUGAGGCGAAUGAUCUCAUCGAGAACCUUCUCGGAAGCGAUUUCGGAGAAGACCUUGUCGCAAUUCAUGGCGCAGGCUUCGAGGAGGUCAAGGCUGAGGGUCUGAACGACGGGGCUCUUGUGAUUGAUCUUUCUCUUGAUGGCCUUAACGACCUCAGAGCCGUUGAACUGGUCGCUGUUGAUCAUGCCACAGAUUCUGAGAUUCAUGCCCCAAUUGGGUUCUUCCAUGGUCUCCAGCGUGGCCUCGUCCACCAUCUUGGACUCCGGCGUCGGCGCCUGAAGCAUCUCCUUCACUUUUCCGCUCACCAUUCGCCCCAUCUGGGCCCCACCGGUCUUCAGCCUCUCACCCAGUUGCGCCCACUUCAACCGCUCCAUCGUGUAAGGAACCCUAACUAGAUCGGGUGAAAUGUGAGGAAAGUAAAAAGCUGAGCUUUGAAGAUUAUAAAGUGAACAAGUGACGAGAGACAAGAGGGGUGUGUGUGGUGGUGUCAAUAUACUGAUCAAUUGCUUGUGACACGUUUUUUUUAUUUUAAAAAAAAAAAAAUCAAUGCCGUAGACUGGGAUUUGUUUGUGGGUGGGAUUUAAUUAAUGAUAAUAAAUUAUGCAUUUAACUCAUUUUCACGUCUUUUUCUGUCUCGCCCUAAAUAUUUUAAUCAUGAGUUGAAUUUGUCACGGUUUCAACUUAAAAAUUUUCACGUCGAAUCUAACCAAUACAAAGAUUGUGUUAGGUGUCUUCUUAAGAAGAUAUUUUUGACAAAUUGAUGUAGGGAUUAAUAUUUUAUUUAUAUAUAUAUGUCUGAUUUUUAUGUAAUCUUCUUAUAUAAGCAAGACUUAUUUUAAAAAAUAUAGGUAUUUUUGUAUUAAAUGAUUUGUCUUUUGACAUAUAAUAAAUAAAAAUUCUAAAAUAAGUUAAUAUAAUAAAGAAAUUGAGUUAUUAUGUAAUAAAAUAUGUAUUGAUGUUAGAAAUGGGACUCUUAUUAUUAUUUAAGUUUAUUUAAUUUUUUUUUAUAAAUGACUAUAAAUUAUCAAAACAGAUUUAUAAGUUUUCAAUUAUUCAUCACAUGUCCAAAAUAUUUUAUCAAAGAAAAUAUAAAUAAAAUCAAUUUAAUAUAAUGAAAUUGAUAAAUCAUUGAUCAAUUAAGUUAAAUGAACUUAAUUUUUUUAUAGCAACUUUACAUCAUUAAUAUAUGCAAUAACAUAAUGUAUAAUUAAUACAGGAUAUUAUAUAUAUGUAAAAAAAUACGUGAUGAAUUAUAUUUUGAAGUUUAAAAAAAUGAAAUUUUUUGUUGUAAUAUGUUUUUGAUAUGAAAAAUAUCUGAUUAAUUUAAAAUAAUAAAUCAUUAUUAAAGAGUACACAUAUAAAAAAUAAUAUACUAAUAAAUAUCAAAAAAGUAGAUAAGCAAUUCAUAAUAGAAAAUAGAAAAAAUAACUUCCCUUAAAUUUGAAAGACUUUUCGAUAAAUAACAUAUCAAGUCAUAUUUAAAUUAUCUCAGUUAUUAAUAAAAAUAUUUCGGUUAAUAGGUUUUCAUUAAAAAAGAUAUGAAAUAUUUUAUUAUUAACAAAAGUAUUUUCAUUAAUAGGUUUUCAUUGAUAUAUCUUCAUUACCAAAAUAAUUUUUUGUCAAUCAUAUUUUUAGGUUAAAAUAUAUUUUCCGUCUCUAUAAAUAUCAAAAAAUCCAAAAUUCAUCCCUAUAAAAUUGAAAUGUGUGUCUUUUUUUGGUUUGGAAUUAAGCUUUGGUGAAUAUGAGCCUACAUGGUUUAAAACUUAAAUUAUAAGCUAAAAUAUAUUUUUCAUCCCUAUAAAUAUCAAAAGGUUCAAAUCCAUCUUUAUAAAAUUUUGAGUCUUUUUUUCAUCCUUGAAAAAUUGAAAUUUAUUAUUUUUGGUCGGAAGUAGGUUCAGAUUUACUCAGUUUGAUCGACGACAGUGAUUUAUGGGGGUUAAAAUCACCACAAAAUGUAAAAAGAAAAACCCACACAUUUGUAAAUCUCUCCUCCCUAACUUUCUUCAUCUUCUUUGUCCACCAAGCUAAUAUGAGAGAGAUGAAUUUGAGAGUUUGUUGACAAUGUUUGAUUAUGAUAGAACACUUGAAUUGAUAUUUAUAGUGUUAAGUUCGAGAAUGAAGGUGUUAGGCUUUUGGAAGGAAGAAAAAUUUAAAAAAAUUAUUUAUUUAAAUUCGAAGAAGAUAAAGAAAGUUAGAGAAUAAUGAGUUUAAGAAAUAAAAACUUAUAAAUUUGUGUAAUUUUUUUUUUCUGGAUUUUGUGAUUAUUUUUAUUCCCAAAUUUCACUUUUUUGAGAACCAAAAAAAACUCAAUUUUACAAGAAUGAAUUCUAAACAUUUCAAUAUUUAUAAAGAUAAAAAAAUAUAUUUUAGCAUAUAAUUUAAGUUUUAAAAAAUUCUCAAAUUCGUCUUAGAUCCAGACCAAAAAAUAACAUAUUUAAAUUUUAUAAGGAUGAAAAAUAUAUCAUAAAAAUUACACGGAUUUCAAAUUUUCUAAUAUGUAUAAGAACGAAAAAUAUAUUUUAAUAUAUUUUUAUUAAUAUAAUAAUUUUAUUUUAUCAUUAUACUAUAAAGAUACAAUCAAAUUUGUUUAUUUAAACGUAUAUUAUCCAUUAAUACCAUGCCAUUUAUAAUUAUAUUUGUAUACUUAAAUUUUAAAUUUAUUAAUGAUUUUAAUUAUGGUGGAUUAAGACAAAACAUCAAAAAAUAAUUAAAAAAAUGUAAAACAAAAUAAAUACAACAUCCAAAACAAAUUUUCCAAAAAAAAAACAUAUAAAACGGAUUAAAAUCUAAAUAAUAUUAAUGAAUAAAAUAUAAUAUUUUACAGAUUCAUAUUACACACCACGUAAAACAUAAUAAAUUUUUUAAAAGAAUAAUCUUAUCUAAUAGACCCAAUAAUUUUUUAAAACAUGAAUAAAUAAAAGAAAAAGAACUAAUGUGUUAUUAACUACUGAUUGAUUGUAAUAUGAACUCAUUGAUCUUUUGCCAUUUGUGUGUUUAAUCAUGUGAUAAAAUAACAAAAAAAGAAUUAAUGAAAAAACUCAAAUGAAUGUAAAAAAAAAAAAACUUUGAACUUUUCUCCCUGCAAGUACGACACCGAAAACUUUGAAUUUUUCUCCCUAUUUGAACGCCUUUAUCACCUCCUCUUCCAUUUCUGUCUCUUGUAAUGAAUAAUUCACACCAAAACUCAAUGAACAUACCAUUGUUAAGUAUGAUCCUAUAAAAAACCAACAACAAACUCAAUUACCGAUAAAAGCACAUGUUUAAAUAGAAUAAGAAUAAUAUAAUAUUAGAAAUUAUUAUUCUCUAUUCAACUUCUAAAACGUGCAUAUUAGAAUAUAGAAAAUUACCUAAUUAUAUGAAUUAAGAGUGUAUUAAAUGUAUUUUAUGAAUUAAAACUGUUAAUUUUUAUUAUUGAUUAAAACUGCUAAUUAAUAUAUCAUUAAUGUAAAUAACUAAUUUCUCUAUUAAUGUGAAAUUACUCUUCUUUAAAAUAAAAAUAUUUUAUUUACUUUUUUUCCCAUACAAUUAUUAAUUUAACUCCCAUUUAUGAGACAAAAUAAUAUUUACAAAAAUGUCCCCAACUCACUUUCUUUUAUAUAUUAUAUAUAUAAAGAUAUGUAAAAAAAAUCUCAUCCUUCUCCUUUUAUAUAUAUAGAUGCUAACUUCUCAUUUUCAGACACAAUUUUUGAAUAUACUUUUUUAUCUAUUAAAGUCUAUUAAAAUAGUAUAUUUUUAUGAAUCUUAUUUUUUAUUUAACUUUUUUUUUUAAUUUUAUAAAUUUAAAUAAAUUUUUACACGUUAGAAAAAAUGUGUAAUGUUUUCAUAUACUAGUAAUCACAACGGAAAAUAACGCUUCAUUUCAUCAACGGAUAAAAGUUUUGUAGAAAUUGAUUUCCUUUGUAUACACUUAUGGUUUAAUUAUAUUUUUGGUUUUGAAAAUUAAGGGUGCAUUUAAUUUUAGUCUCUUAAAUUUAAAAACAAAUAUUUUGGUCUUUUAAAUUUAAAAAGUUACAAUUUUCAUCCCUCAAAGUUUAUUUUGGGUUUUGUUAUGUCCUAGUGUUAGGUAACUUGUUGUGAGCGAGAGGAUGAAGAUGAACGCAUUGGAUUCGAGGUCAAGGCACCUCCUGAAAUAAACUAAGUUCUACGCAAAUGCUUCUCUGAUUUUAUUCAUGUAUUCGAUAUCCUAUUUAUACACUGCCUUUUGUAACAGAUUAUAACAUAUCAGUAACAAACUUUGUAGGCCAAAAUCACACCAAGUCCUUCAAAUAGGUAGGGCGCGCAGUGUUUCUCUUGGGCCUUCCAGCAUGGGCUUCAGGUAAUGUGUUGAUCUCUUCUACGUUCCUGUUGCUGUUGCUGUUGCUGUUGCUGUUGCUAUCAUAACUCAGGUUUAAGAGGGAAGGUGUGUACCUGCAAAAGGCAUUCUAGUUUUCAACCCUGAAGUUGUAAGGUUUGCACUGGUAUAGUGCAGGCAUCAAAGAUGCAUAGAUGAGUGGUUAAAAGUUAAAACCCUUUAUUUGGCAAUGAGUGGUUGAUCCACUGUUUUACAGUUGUACACGUACUUGCUUUUUCUGUAUUUUUUAGCAAUUUAUUCCAACAUUAGCACUUAAAAUACCCUAGUUGUAACUUGUAAGCCUUUUCAUCUAUAGAUUGGUUUAAUGAUGUGAAACAGAGCUAUAAAGUUGAAGGAUGUCAACUUACAUAUAAAGAGCUAAGCGACUUCAUUUAUAAGACUGUCCUGCUGAGAAAGUUGACUUACUUGCACCGGAGUGAAGGAGACCAGGUGGCUUCUACUAGUAUUGGAAAAACAGAAACUCUUCUUGUUCGGAAAUUACCAAUUGCAGAUCCAAAGUAAUCAUACUCAUUGUGCAACAGUUCUUUGGAUUGUAGAAUUGUUAACUGCUAUUGUGAGUUGGCUGAUAUGGUCCAUUUUAUGCUUAGGAUGUGUCAUUCUCCUGAAAUGCAAUAUUUAUUCCUUGCUUUUCAUAUGAAAAAUCUUUAAACAGAUGCUUUUCUCAUCUUGAUUUCAUAUAUUACAUAAUAAUUGAAUCUAGAGUUUAUAACUGUUGAACUCAGAAAAUAAACACAUUGAAUUCUGAAUAAAUCAUAGAAUCUAUCUGUUUUUUUGGCCAAAUUUAAGUGCAAACAUCAACAAACACAAGGUUUCCCCCUAACAAGUAACAAGGAGUUUUCUCCUUCAAAACACCGUAAAUAACAAUUUGACACCUUAACCGCCACAUCCUAAAACAAAACUGCCAAUACAUAAUUGAAACCAACAUAACUGCCUAAUAACUGUCCUAAUGCAGAAUUAACACAAACACAGCUACCUAAUAACUGGCUGUCAAUUUUUUAUUGUAACAAAAGGAUUGAUUUGUGUUAGCAAGUUAGUAUAUUGAUAUCACAUAUAGAUUUGACUGUUUGUAAGUUACUAAAAGUCUCUCAUUUUGAGAAACUCCUACCAUGUCUUAGUUUGAGCACUAGUUUACUAUGAUUUAUCAGUUCUGAAGUUAAAAUUUAAAACAUAAGGUGGUUCUUGCCUAUGAUGAUUUAUAUUUUAAUCGUUGUAAAGCUCCAUUUGAGGCUUUUGGUCUUGCAGAUGUUACUUUUUUAAAAAAUAUAUAUGGUAGGUGGCACCAACAAUGUGAUAAACUUCAUGCUUAUGCCUGUGUUAUUUGUAGAUUUUUUUAAAAUAGGUUUUCUUUUUACAUUUUGUAAUCUGGUCGGUGAUAUGGUCUAUGGAUGGUAUAAUGAGUUCUGAUAAUCCUCCCCUUCCUCUCCCAAAAAAUGUUGUUGACUGACUAUCAGUUUGCAAAUUUAGAAAUCAUUGCUCACUUCUGUUUUUUAUUUUUAUUUUUAGACUUCCACUAAAAUUAGAGAGAUUUUGACUGACGAUUGAAUUUUUCAAAUGGUGUUCAUCAAUCAAUGCAAUCUCAAAUGCUGUGCAUGUUUCUUUGACAGGCAUGUUUUUGUAGGAGAUUUAGUGGUCUUGAAAAACCCUCUGAAGGCAGAUAACUAUCUUGUCAGGCAAUUAACUGUAUUGAAGGUUAUGAAAUGGUAUCAACUGAUGAAAAGGAUGAACCCUUUUUUUCUUGAGAAGGAUCAGUGUUGGGUAGAUGCUGAAAAUAAAAGUUUAAAACCCAAGGUAAGACUGCUCUAUUUUCCUGGUCUCUCUAUAUAUGGAGCAUAUCAAUUGGCAUUAGCAUUUUAUUGCAAGAGAGAAGCUAAUGCUGAUUAUUUAAGAAGUUUUAUAUAGUAAAAUAUCAUGACACCAAGCAAUAAGUUACCAUUGACGUACAAGUAUACAAGGUUACUUGUUGGAAAAUAAAACAACAGCUUUCUGUUUUUAAAAUAAUUAAAAUUAGGCAUGAUUUGGUAAUUUAAUGAUAUUGAAAACCUCUGGAAUUCCAAAUACUAAUGUUUUUCUUUCUCUCUUUUUAGUUUUCUUCCUUUGUCUCUUUAAUUAUAUUUUUUUUCUCUACUAAUAAGGAUAUUAAAUCUGUGUUACUUCUUUACCAAAAACUCUGUUAAACUCAUGGGGUUUUGUGCAUGUGUCGCUCUUACAUGAUUUAUAAAAGGACAACAUGGUGUCAUUUGAUCUAUGUAGCCAAUCCCCACCUAAUGAAAGAAACUUUUGCUGCUGUUGUUAUUUUGUUUCCUCAACAUCUAGCUGCUUUGAAAUUGUGUAGUAUCUGUAAGCUCUAAAGUCUAAGGUGAAUGUCUCCAUAAAGACUAGUCGAUUAUUUGGUCCAGUUAAUAUGACAGACAUUGUAGGCAGAGUCAUAUAUCGCCUGCGAACCUGUGUAGAGACCAUCACUGUGUACGGAACAGGUGAACUAAAUUAGUAAAUUUCUAUCUUAUUUCUUAUGUAAAAUGGUAUGUGGAAGGUUUUUUUUUUUCUUUAAAAAAAAUAUUGAUAUAAUUUACUCCUUUGCCAGUCAUUCCAGCAUGCUAAAGGAUUGGCCCGUGUUGGCAGUGGAACUUGAUGUUGAGGAGAUGUCAAAGAAUCACAAGGCCUAGGCCUGUUUGGUUUACAUUCCUGUCAACCCAAAUGGGAAAACGUGCUUCCCAUGAAUGCACUUUUCUAUCAAGUGAAUCACAACAUAUACUUAUGUCAAAACAAGCGAAUCUCCUGAUCAUCAUUAACUAGAUAGUUUUGUACGUAUCCCCUGUUUGAGGCAGAGCAAUAAUAGGAUGUUACUUUUUUGCAAGAGAAUGUGAUGGUGGUGUUAUCAGUUGUGUGAUUUCUUUAAUUUAUACAUAUUAGAUGUUUGACUUUUUCUUUAAAGCCCAAGGAUAAAUUGCUUGUUUGAUGUAUAAAUAGUAAUAGUAUAUUUUUCUAUAAUAUAUAUCGUUUUGUUAAGCUUAAUAUUUUAUCAAUAUCAAAUAAAAAAAAUUGUACUUCAUAUCUUAAAAGUAAAAAAGCAUGCGAUUCUUUACUUUUUUAAAUUUUGUAGUGUAUGCUUGGGAGAAUUUAUUUUCAACAAAUAAUGGCUUAUAUUUUGGUUUUUUUUAUUAUAAUAAGUUAUAUUAAACUUGGGAGUAUGAGAUAAAGUUGUGUAUGUAUAAAAAGUUGUCUUUGAAUAAGCGUUACUUUUAGUUGAACGUCAAUCUAGUAUAGGAUUCAGUUGAACGUGCAUUAGAAAGUGUCUUAAGUAAAACAAACACACUAGUGUGUGCUUAGAUUGUUGUGUGAGAGGUACCAAAUGUUCAUUUGUGCAUUUCAAUGCACAAAAGACAAGUAACAACUAACAAUACUAUUAGAUUAAAUGUGAGUUAUAUUCAACUGAAUGGUUAUUCAAACACACCUCAAGCGUCUGUUUGGAAUUAGAGACGAAUGGAUGUUUGCCAAAGGAGUCAUUUGUAUCUUUCUUCCAGCAGGUUUGGAGGUGUGUGAAUGGUUUUUAAAACAUGUUUUUAAAUCAUUUAUUGUUGACUAACUAAAAGAUAUUUCUGACUCAACCACUUAGGGAUUAUAGAUAUUUCAUUUGGUUUAAUUUUUUUUAGACUUAAUUGUCCUUAAAAUGGAAAAUUGAGUUAAUUAGAAUGUUUAAAAACUAUAAACUUUUAAAAAUGUAAUUUUUAAAAGAAUAUAUUUUAAAAAAAUGUUUUUGGAAAAGCCAGUUUCAAGAUUUUUUUUAUACUUUUAUUUCUCCCCUUAUUCGAAAACAUAAAAUCUAAAAGAAAAAUGACUGUAAUUUAACUACUUGAAAGGAUUAAAAUGAAUGUUCCACACUUUCACUCGUUUUUUUAGGCUUAAUGAUAAUAACAAAGAAAAAUAAAAGGUUCCUGCCCGAGCGAGAAUUUCAGUUGGUCCCUGAUGAAAAUAAUGAUUCCCGAGAAUGUCCCUUAUAUAUGACUAUGGGACACGACACGGGUAACUAGCAACAAGAAAAAACCUGCGACUGCUAGUGAGUGCAAAUUGAAGCAAAGGUUGCUGCAACCGCCGUUGAGUGAGGGCGGUUGGGUUACGAUGUUGCAAGCAAUGCAUCUGAUGAUGGCCAACACUUACAACGUUGCCGGUGAGCGUCUUUCUCUGUCACCUUCAUCCUUUGAACCAUACCAUAACCCUUCUUCACUCUCUUCUUUCAUUUUCCUCCACUCUAGCCUUUAGGUUUUUUUUUUUUCCUUAUGUUUCUUUUCAGUUUGCCUCCUAUGAUAGCUAGCUUUUGAGACAUGGAUCGUUUUCAGCUUCUUUUUCCGUCAUGAUUGAAAAAAAAUCAAACUGCUGUUCUGUAAAUAACCACUCUGCAAUUAAAUUGUGCCAUUUUACUGAAGCACUAGUAAUAUAUAUCCUGGAUCAUACUCUCUAUCCGCUACUGAGAUAAACUUGAAAUCAUGAUCAUUUGAAUUCCUAAAACAAUUGUGAUGUAUGUAUCAUUGCUCAAUUCAGAGAUUGAUUACUUAGUGCCUUAUCCUAGGUUUCUAUGAUGGAUUGUGUUGCUUUCUGUCAUACAUAAAUAAGGACAAAACUUAGAUGCAGUUCUACAAGUGUUUUUUGUUGAUGUUGUCCAAUUAGAAUUGGAGUUUCACUUCAGUAAUUCGGGUAUAAAAAGGUUUUCAAUAAAUGUCAAAUAGAUUACCAAGGUGGAACUCCAAUCCUGAUUGAAGAACAACAGCAAAAGUACUCAUGGAAUUGCAUCUAAGUUUUGUCCAAUAAAUAUGGCUAUAUGUUUAUUAUAUUUUUUCUGUUCAUUUUAUUUUACUUCUCUCUUUAUGGUUUUUGAAGUGGUUUUGGUCAUACCGUGGGAUGUGGAGUGGCAGAAGGUAGGUUUCUUCCAUGUUUGGGUGUUUCUGGAAGAACAGCUUCUGUGUUUUCUUGCUCCUCUCAGGGUUACCACAGAAUUCAUUCACAUGUCACAAUUAGAGGGCUAAAGUGUUCUUCUAGGGGUGCAUGUGCAUCUUUUGUGUGUGAAGCGAGGAGGAACCCUGAAUCUUUCUCUAGGCAAAACAAGCAUGGAUUUUCCAGAAGCAGGAAGUGGCUCAAUGUAGACAGAGACAGCUUUGAGAACAUUGAAAAAGACAUGUUAUCAUUGAAAAAUGGUUCAUUGGUAUCUCAUUCUAGCACACUAAAAAACCAUGCCAAUGCCAAUGCUGCCCCUAGGCCUAAAGAGAAGGAGAUUAUUACACUGUUUAAGAAGGUUCAGGCUCGGCUAAGAGAGAGAGCUACUACUAUUAAGGAAAUAAAGAAAGUUGAAGCAUCCCAAGCACAGUCUAAAUAGAAUGGUUCUGUUAAUUCUCUCCUCAAGCUACUGAGGAAACACUCAGUUGAGCAAGUAAAGAGAAGUAGUGGUGUUAACAGAGGGGAAAACGAUAGUUUGGACUGGUUGCAAGAUUGUGGUCAAGACAAUGAAAGUCAAAGCACAAAAUUUCCUGAUUUAAAUGGUACUCCUAAUAAUGAGUCUCAAGAAACUAACAUUUCAUUAGUUAUCAGGCCUCCAUCUAAUUUCCAACGACGGUCUUCUUUUUUUCGGUUAAAGUAUCAACCUGUCUCUAACGACGAUAAGGAUGUGAAUGCAGUCCCCUGAGUAAUGUGGUUACAGAGAAAGAUCAGGAUCAAAUCGGCAUCAAGCUUGAUCCUGAGCCAGAGCAUGACUCUGAACUGGAACUUGAUCCAAAGGAUAAGCCCUUGUUCCCCGAAGUGGGGAUUGCGAUUUCACAUGAUGAUGAUUAUCUUGAUUCUGAACAAAUAUAUAAUGAUGAACAUGGGGAGGACCAACAAGUGGAACAACAUGAGGAUUUGAGUACAAUGAAGCUGUCUGAACUAAUGGCACUUGCGAAGUCUCGUGGCCUCAAAGGGUUUUCAAUAAUGAAGAAGAGUGAGCUCAUGGAGUUGCUAACUGGAAGCUGAUUUGGACCAUAAGUUAGAGAAGCAAAAUCAAGGAACAACAGAUUUUACCAAUAUCUGUUUUUUACCUGUGAAUUUAUCUGGUUUAUUUUUUCAUCGUUUUUAAUUUAAUUCCUUCAAAUACUUGAGGGUUUGUGGAUCAUUAAAUAGAAUAACCAUGCUAUUAUUCAGGCCUCGGAGGAUUUUGAAUUUGUAACUGUAUUCCCACGAUGAGAUUUUUGAAUUUUUUUUUACUGAUUAAAAGUACACCAUUUCAGUAUGAUAAUGCUUCGGGACUAUUAAUCAUUGUUAACCGUAUUGUAUAGCUAUAAUCCUUAUCAGGCCAUUGUUAACCAUUUUGUUUACAUAUCCAGCAAAAAUAAAUAAAUAAAUAAAUGUAGUAAUACUUUUUUUUUUAUCAAUUUUUAUUUUUUGAAAAUAAUUAUAUUCCUUAAACAAAAACGAACAUUGGAUCUGAAAGCUAUAUAGCUUAGCAAAACAGGACCGAACGGACUACAUGGGUAGCAAAAUAUUUAUGACAAAAGGGAUCUAUAUAUGCUAUUCAUAAUCCCUUUUUGCUCUUCACACUCUCCAUUUUCUAUUUUUUGUUUUUUGAUAUUCCUAAAAUAUCACUAUUCCCUCUCACUUUCCUACCCUCACUUUUCAUAUAUAUUACAGAAAUUAGUCUCUCUAAUAUAGUUAUGUUUUAAUAAAUUAUUAUAUUACGAAAAUUAAUUUCCAUAAAAUGUUUUUUGUCAAUUUUUUUAACAGAAAAAUAGGUAGGCAACACAAAAAGCAAAAAAGUGGGGUGUAAAUGACACAAACCCAACAAACAAGGCCGAAACUAUUUCUGAGUAGUUUAUUUUAACAAAGCUCUCUUUUCCCCUGCAUCCCAAAAAUCUCAACCUACAUCCCUUUUCACCCCCUCAUAGUGGAAAGAUUAAUUGGAAUGAAGGUUUUACAUUUCAAAUUACCUAAAAGAUUGUUAGGGUGAAAGAAAAAUAAAUUAGAAAAGCUCACUUACAAAAAAGAUGAUUAAUUAAAAUUAGGAGCUCAUAGUUUUAACUUCCCACUUUGUUUUCCUUCGUUUAAAAAAAGUUGUCCUUCAUCGCCAAAAAAAAAAGAUGUUUUCCUUCUUUUAGGAGACAACAUCACGUUUGGCUUGCCUGCAUAGUGCUUAUGCUUGCUUCCAAUAUAAACAUUUUCCUUAUCACCACUUAAUAUAGCAGUCACCAAGUGCCGCUAAAUAGAAAAGGGAAUAGAAUAUUCACAAUUCACAUGCAAGGGGUCCCCAAUUUGAAAGUUUAGCCGAAGAAGCUUGUGAGUUGGUGGCCGCUGAUUCAGUAACUUGGACAUUAAUUUCUUUAGUUUUUAAUGUGUGUUGUUUUAUCAAAUUUAAUCACUCACAUGGGGGAAGGAAGAGAUGGGGAAACAAAAUCCCUCUAUUAUGCAAACCAUGACGUAUACGGCAAACAAGAUAAGCAAUAGUUAAUAUGUAAUCCAAUCUAAGGCGAGCAAGGAAGAUCUCAUUUGUUUAGCUUGAUACCGAUUGACUUUGAGCUUUUUGAGGGAUAAUGAGGGGAUACAAUUUUAACCCAAAAAAGAAGGGUAUAGCAAAAGCAAAAGAAAAUACGUAUCACACAUCUUUAAAAAUCACAUCUCGUAUCUAGAGUAGGUGGUUCAAUCAAAACGUAAUUAUGUAAAAAUCACGAAGAAAAUGUAUUGAUAACUUUGAGUGUUUUUUUCUCUUAGUCAACACUCUUGCUUAUUGAAAAAAAUAAAGGCUUAUAAAUUAUAGGAGGGGUUGAAAUCUCAUGUCGUCUAAUUCUUUUUUUAUUUUUAUCAACAAAUAAAAAAUAUAUAGAUGUAUAGGAUAUAAAGGGUGUCCAAAACCCAAGCGAGAAUGACCAAUAUCUGAAUCACAUAACACUUUAACAUUAUUUAUUGGAUAGCGAGAAUAAUCAAUAUCUGAAUCACAUGAUAUUUCAACAUUGUUUAUUGGAUAAUAAAAUGAUUACCACAUCAGUUUAGUAUAAUGAUACAGUUAAAAUAUUUUUUUUAUUGGUAAAUAUUAAUUUUUAUUAUAAUACUAAUAGAAGAUUUAAACUUAUAACUUCUCUUUAUUCUUCUUGCUUCAACCCUUAAACCUUUCUUCAUAAUCAUCAAAUCAAUCUUAUAACUUUUAUAUGACUAAAAUAAAGUAUAACUGAAGCGCAAACCUUACCUUAUAAGCCAAUUUUAUAAGGUUUUACAAUCAUAACUCAUAAUUCUAAUAUAGUAUUAGAGUCUAUUCUAAUGAGUAUCAUUAGACAUUCUAUGUUACUUGCUAUCGAACUACUAUUAGACCUGUAUAAGUCUAGUUUAACAAAUUUUAUGAUUGACAUGUCUAAUUCUCGAUAAGAGAAAUUGUGUUGGAAAUCAUACAUCAAUAAUGAUGAGACAAAAAAUAAUAUAUAUACAUGAGUCAGAUGUCUAGUUACUCAUUAAAUAAUUAGUGGAUUAAGUGUUCAUUUAACUAUGAGUUAUAUGUUUUUAAAAUUAAAAAAUUUAAAAAUAGUUUGUGUGUGCUAAGGAAAAUAAUUUUAUCAUUAAUAAUAAUUCUAUUCAAUUGAAAGAGUGUUUAUCGUGAAAAAUAUAUGUAUUCUUAAAAAAAAAAUGUAAGAAUGAUAUAAAAUCCAAUAUAUAAAGUACAUUAUAAUUCUUCCAAGAGUAUGGACUUUGGUGUGACUUUAUGAGGAUGAUAUAACAAAAUAACAAAUAGAUAAAGCUGCUGUACAUCAAUGGUUAUAAUGAAAGGAAUGAUUAUUUACAGCUAUGGGUAAGAUAUACGAAAGAAAAAAGGAAGUCUACGAUUAUUACAGCUAUGACAAUAAAUAAAGCUCGUAAAAACAAAACAAAAGUCCAAGAAUAACCAACGGGUCUAAUUAAGUUGACAUGUAUGACUUUAAUUAAGUUCAUAAACAUUUACUAUGUGCAUAGCGAACAAAGAAAUUGUGUAGCUGAUCACGACGACUGAUACAUAAUACAAUAUUGUUUUGACUUUGGAUAAAAAAAAACAGAUAUGAUACAAGUAGGUUAAUAUCCAAGAAGUGCUACGUACUUUCCAAAUCUUUCUUUGGUAUAGUGUGACAGUGAUGUAAUGAAAAAGGAAGAGAUAAAUAAAAAGAAAAUAAGGUAAAAACGAAAUAGAAGAAAAACAUGAGCGAUAUGUUUAUAACAAUUAGCCCAUUAGUAUAUAUAAAUUGCUGUUAAAAACCCAUUAGUAUAAGUCUUGGAUAAAAAAUCUUAAUUGCAUAGAGCCACUUUGUCCACAAUUUUAAUAAAGUAGUUAUGUAAAUAUCAAACUUUAUUAGCAGUUUUUUCCACGACUUUGACGGUCUUCACAAUUACUACUCAUUGUACUCAAUGUUUCAAAACCACAAUGCUUAUGGUUGGCACUUCCUAAGAAUUUAAUGAGUGAUAGAAACCUUGACUUGGAGUUGGAGCUGGCUAAGCACUGCCUAAGAAUUUAACGUUCUCUAACAGAAUUGAUAUGAAUCAAAUGCAACACAAAAGUUCUCAAGACACAAUAUGAGAAUCAUUAGAAGAUAUAAGGUUAAUUUUGUGGUUAAAAAAAGUAAAAAAAAAAAGAGAAAAAAAUGUUGUAAAUUCAAAUGUCGUAACUAAUAUUUUUAACAAAAUUAAUAAAUUAAUAUUUAUGGAUAAAAAAAUAUUAUGAGUUAUUUUGCCUUAAUUCAAAGCAUAGUGGUUAAAUAAAUCGGAGCGGAACAUAGUCAAGAAAGUUGUUUACGUGGGCCUGUCAAUCUGAUUCAUCUAAUUCAAAGCAAAAGAAAUGGCAUCUUAUUAACAUUGGCAAAUCUUGAAAAUGAUCAAUUGAAGGUUACUGACAGUACUACAAUGACACCCCAUUUGUGAUUUGUGGAGAAAAAGAAAAAUUCAUGUCAUGGAAUGGUGUUGGUGUUGGCUCACAUGCUUACCACAAAUGUCACAGGCACAGCUGAAUGUUUAAAUGUGCUCACGGAGGGAGGGUCAGAUCUUCUAUUGCUAUUGGCUUGGAUCCAAAGGACGAUUUGGUUAUUGGUACAAUUCAAUAUAGCCAGCAAAGAUUGCCCCAAUGCAAGUCCCCAACUAAGUAAGCUAGCAUUGCCACUCAGCUCAAUGGUACUAUUGAUGUUCCCUAACUGCACUAUUGCAUCAAAUGGAAGAGUGUAGACCGGGUAGUAGCCUAGUCCUUUUUUGCUAAUGAAUUCUGAGUUUUAAUGGCUUACCUAACCCUUUUUUUCUUUUGGUAGACCUAGCUAGCCCUUCUAUCCAUAAGGACUUGGCUGAAUGGCUGGUGAUUUUAGGUAGGUCACGCUAGUCACAUGGUUCAAGUGAUGCAAUGAAAAAUGGAAAAAGAUAAAAAUGAGAUGAAUGAUAAUAAAAUAAAGGUUCAAAUAUAUUUUUCGUUUUUAUAAAAUUAUAUAUUUUUAUAAAAUUAUAAGUGUUAUUUUUUUUUUCUGGAUUAAAGUUAGUAUCCAAAUCCAUAAUGAUGAUUUAUACAUAUAAUCAAUGUAAAUGUAAUAUUUUCUAUAUCAAUUAUGUAUGUAAUCAAUCUAAAUAAACAUUUUUUAUAUCACUUAUAUAUAUAACUAAUGUUAAAAAAUUAUACAUAUAAAUUUAGAUAUAUACGAGGAUAAAAAUUAUCUUUUAGUCUAAAAUAAAUUACGAAUUUAAUUUCUUUAGUAUUAUUAUUUAUCUUUAAGUAUUCCUUAAAAGUAAUGAAAUAAUGCAAGUAAUUGUUAAAAUAUUAAAUAUCUAUUAUUUCAUUCCUUAAGUUGAUAUAUUUUAUUAAAGAUCGUGAACUAAUUCGAAAGAUUUUUCAAUACUUAAAAAAUUACUUAUGAUGAUUUUAAAUACCUAAAGGAUAAUGUAAUUUCUUAGGGACUGCUACCAUAAUCUAGAUACAUAUGAUAUUAUCGUCUUUACUUUUGUAAUUUUUUAAUUCAGAAACUUUUAUUUUAAGAGAAGGUAGUAUUUUGUGGGAGAGAUUAUAGUUUAUUCAAAAGAAUACGAAAUGUAUGUUUUUAAGCACUUAAUAGAUGAAUAAUACUUUAGAUAGAUCUGCCUAUAAAUGCACUAUUCUUGACUUAUUUUAUUUUAUUUUUGGGUGAAGUGCGGAGUGAUAUUCUCUAAUGAUGAAUGGCCUAUAUUACAAAUUAUUUUAUAUGUUGUUUGAAUAUUGGUUUUACAAUAUUUUUCACUCUUUGGUAAGAUAAUAAAUAUCCCUUCCUUCAUAGUGUUGAACUUGUUUCUCCUUACACAAAAAUGACACUAUUGGUUUUACAAUAUUUUUAAUACGACUUUAAAGGAAUUAUUAUGAAAUUAAUAAAUAUAUCAUUUAUGGCAGUUUUUUUUAACAUGUUUAGACAAUUUUUUUAAAUUUUAAUUGUUUCUCUUUCAUAACCAGCUAGUUCCCCUCUUUUUGUCACAGGAAUUGAAACUCAAAUUUAUAAAAAGAAAAUAAUUAAAAUAUCUAUCAAUUAUUAAGAGAAUGACUAUCCAAAAAAUAAUGGCAGUCAAACUAAUUUUUUAUAAAAAAAUUUAUAACUACCUUAAUGACGGGAAAUUAAGACAAGGGCUUAUCUUAAUCAUUCAUGAAGGAAAUUUUCAAAUCAACAAUAAAUUAAUUUGCCCAAACUUUUGUCUCAGUUUAGUUAUGCAAUAUUCAUUUUUAAUUUAAAUAUACUAGUAAUGUAUUUUUUUAUACUAUCAUUAUUUAAAUAUUAAUAUGUAUGAUACAUUUAUUAUUAUUUUUUUCUAUAAUUUAUAAUUUAAAUAUACUAGUAAUGUAAUUUAAACAUUUUUUUAUUGAUUAUCGAUAUAAAGUUUUUUAUACUAAAUAAAAACUAAACUCUAUAAAAAUAAUAUACCGAAAAAACUCUAUAAAUAUAUUACAAAAAUUUUAAAUUUUUUCACAUUAUUUUUUUUAAAAUUUUAAAAAAUUGCUUUUUGAAAGCAAUAGAAUAAGACCUUAAUUCGAUUUGUGUGCUAAGAUUGUUAAGGAUCCACCACCUUAACUAUUUUAUGGUUAUUUUAGGUUGUUCUUUACUUAACUUAAUUUGAUGAAAAAUUUCCCUUUAGUUGUUGGACCCUCUGCGUCAGGCUUUCCGGGUAGCAUUGUUGGGAAACAGAGCUAUGCCAUGAACGAAGGAGAAGAACCCCUUUCACUCACCAUCAUCAUCAUGCUAAUUCACAUAUCAUUUCACUUCUUUUAGACAAUCUCGUGCUUUGAAAUUCAUCACCAUUUCUUUCACCACUCUUCCACUUUCAUAACUAUGCAUAUAGGUAUGUCUGCGAAUGCAAUCAUCCAAACCAAACCUGCUACUUUUCCUCACAAAAUGCCUUCUUUUUUAGUUUUCUUAUAAUUUUCCAUGGCUUUCUCAGGUGCCCUUUUGUAGCUUUUGAUCCAUUGGAGGAUCGUCUAUUGUUUCUACUAUUUUGGGUGGUUUCUGGAUUUUGUGCGGUGUUAUACAUUUUAGAAAUUUCUUAAUAAUUGGGUACCCUUUGCUAUGUUUUUGUUGUCGAGGCUCUAUGUAGAGUUGUUUUUAGAUUGGUCAUAGAAAGAUGUGUUAUUUCUAUCUGUGUUCAUUGGAAAAACUUGGGAGAAGUUGUCAAAGAGAGAGUAAAUUGAAGUACUUUACCAAUAUAUGGUUCUGGCAGAUGAAUAAUUCUGUCUGAAAGUUGAAUUAGUAUCAUUUGAGUUGACGAGUGAGGUUACUGAAACCUCUGAAAACCGAAUUUUCUUUUUCCUUCCAUGGACUUUAACGGUUUGUCUUGCAUGCAUCAUUUUCAUUCAGCAAUUGCAUUUGGUCUCUUUUAGUGAAUCAUUGAGUUCCUCUUUGUAAUUUUGUAUAUUAGACCUGCUAUACUUGCAAGUGAAAUCCAUUUGCCUUUUCAUGCAAUGGUGCAAAAUUAUUUUGUGUUAUCUACUUUAGCACGGUUCAAGUGCUUAUGUGUUAGUCUUUAGAUGCUGAUCUGCGUUUUUGCGUGAACACAAACAUGUGGUACUGUUUUUUAGAAUAUUUUUCAACGUUGGACUCUAGUUUAGUCACUAAUUGUUGUUGGACAAUCAGAAAACUAGACAUUUGGAGCUGGAAAUGAAUGAAAAAUAAGUCAAUUGCAAAAAACUACCAUGUGCUUUGAAACUAAUCAAUUUGAUUCCUUGAACUUAGCAAAUCGUGCAUAAUGGCUCCUUUCAAGGGUUUCCUACACAUGCUCAAACGGUUAUGUGUUUGGUAAGUUUAGGGAGCCAUGUUACUGAGUUUUGAACCACAUGAAAUUUUGCUGCAAUUGUCCUGUAACUAGAGGGGGUUUAUAUUCAUUUUAGCGAAAUAUUAACUUAAUUCCCUAGUGCUUGUUACAAAUGUUCUCUUUUAAUUUAUUUUUUGUUGUUUUUGUAACACUGGUUUGCUAUUAUUUUGGUCUAACUGAAGCAGGUCAAAUAAAUACAUCUUCAGUGAAAUGUCUUGUCAACAGCAUUUCGCGAUUCAUACAUCUAGUUUCUUGCCAAGCAGUGAAACCUAUGCCCCUUCAAAAGAACUGUAAUAAUAUGGUUUGUGUGUUGAAGCAUUUGAAACCAGUGCUCGAUGAUAUUGUGGAUUUCAAAAUCCCUUUCGAUGAAAAUCUGCAUAGAGAAUGUGAAGAAUUGGAUAUGCGGGUUAAUGAAGCUAGGGAGUUCAUUGAAAAAUGGGGCCCGAAGAUGAGCAGGAUUCACAGUGUAAUUACUUACAUUCUUAAUUUCUUGUACUUGAACAAAUAUCAUUAUUCGACAACUGUUAUUGAACUUGUUUAAGAUCCUAAACCUCUAUGUUGGCAUUUGAACAAGGUCAAAAGAAACAAUGCACCACCAAUACCUCCCCCAUCUGUCUUUCUUCUCUGGAAGAGAUUGAUCACAACCUCUUAACUAUUUUGUUGGGAAUAUUCUAUUUUCAGGUUCUUCAAAGUGGGGAAUUGUUGAUCAAGUUACAGAACUCUUCAUAUAAGAUUUGUCACAUGAUAGUUAAAUCACUAAAGGGACCUGCAUCUGUUUUGGUUUCGGGUAAUCUUCAGGUAGGUCCAACGUUAAAAGUAAAUUUUUUCCUUAUCAUUAUUCAUUUGUUCUUCACUUCUCCUAUCCCACUCCCCUGUAAAAGUAAAAGGACAGGGUAAAGAAAGUCAAACUACUUCAUUUGGCAGUAAUAGUUAUUGUCUGUUUUGUGGGUGCCUUGCGGCUCAAUAGAAUUAUGGCACUAAUUGCUAGCUACUUUUCAGCAAUAUAUGCAGGAACUUCAGUGUCUUAAGAAGGAACCUGCAAUGAUCUAUAUAGAAGACGCAUUGAGAAAUCAAAGGGAUAAUAUCGAACCUUGCUAUGAUUCUCUAAAGGAAAUUAUACGGUUACUCAUGAUAUCAAACCAGGAGCUACUGAUAGAAAGUAUUGCUGUGGAAAAGGAAAGGUCAAAUGCUGAAGUCAAUAAAACAAAAGGGGACUUGGAUGAAAUUAACCAAAUUGUGAAUCUUGUGUGCAGUUUACGUGAUUAUGUGAUGAAAUUUGAGCGCCCUGAAGUCAAAAGUGGUGUUUCAAUUCCCCCCUAUUUUCGAUGUCCUUUAUCAUUAGAACUCAUGUCAGAUGCUGUUAUUGUGGCUUCAGGUCAGACAUAUGAAAGGCAAUCCAUUCAAAAGUGGCUUGAUCAUGGGCUAACUGUUUGUCCCAACACUCGCCAGAUACUUGUCCAUACAAAUCUCAUUCCCAAUUAUACUGUUAAAGCUAUGAUAGCAAAUUGGUGUGAGGAAAAUAAUGUCAAACUUCCCAGUAACUCUAAGCAAAGUAAUUCCUCUCAUAUUUCAUCCCCCUCAGAUCAUUUAUUACAUCAAGAUUUAGAUCGUCUGUGUAGCUUUGAGUCUUCAGCUAGUAGCGAUUCCAAUUCAAAUCAAAUUGCAAAUGCAUUUGAGAAACCAAAGGAUGAUAACUCUUUCAGAUCAAGCAGGGAAUCUGAUAGAAGCUGGAAUGGAGAGACAGAAAAGUUUGAGCAACAAUCCCCUGCACCUUCAUGUAGUAACAGCAGAAGUGAAUCAUUUUCAAGUUCUAUUUCUAGUACUGAUUAUGUAUUUCCAGUUUUGAAAGAGGUGUCAGGCAUAUCUAAUAAGCAUCAAAAUGUGGAGUUGUCUAGAGAAAUUACUGAUGGGUGUCCUGCUUCUCCUGCAUAUAAAGAAUCAGUGAUUUAUCCUUGGUUAUCUGGAAAGCAAUUUCAUAGCCCUGGAUCAAAAAUUGGAAGGAUGGAGGAUGAAAAUAAGUAUAAUGAGAGUAACAAUAUUAGUAUUACCAGUCAUUCAAAAGUUGCUUCCCAUCCUGUAGGAUCCAAUGAAUUGAUCACCACAUCCCAUGUCAAUGAGUUGAUUGAAGAUCUCCAGAGUCAAUCGAAUGAAACACAAACUGCUGCUGCAGAACAAUUGAGGCUCUGUACCAAGCAUAACAUGGAGAACCGCAUCAGUGUAGGGCGGUGUGGGGCAAUUAUGCCUUUACUCUCACUGCUAUAUUCAGAAAGGAAGAUAAUACAAGAGCAUGCCGUGACAGCUCUACUGAAUUUGUCAAUUAAUGAAGGCAACAAGGCCUUGAUUAUGGAAGCAGGGGCCAUAGAACCACUUAUCCAUGUUUUGAAGACAGGGAAUGAUGGUGCAAAGGAGAAUUCUGCUGCUGCUCUGUUCAGCCUCUCUGUAAUAGAUAACAAUAAGGCAAAAAUUGGCCGUUCUGGUGCAGUCAAAGCUUUGGUGGGUCUUCUAGCCUCAGGAACUCUUAGGGGAAAGAAGGAUUCUGCCACUGCUUUAUUCAACCUAUCAAUAUUCCAUGAGAAUAAAGCUCGUAUAGUUCAAGCUGGAGCCGUGAAGUUUCUGGUUCUGCUAUUGGACCCUACUGAUAAAAUGGUUGACAAGGCUGUUGCUCUUUUGGCAAACCUGUCAACAAUUGCAGAGGGCCGAAUAGAAAUUGCAAGGGAAGGGGGCAUUCCCUCACUAGUUGAAAUUGUUGAAUCAGGUUCUCUGAGGGGAAAGGAAAAUGCUGCUUCCAUCCUCUUGCAACUAUGUCUUCAUAAUCAAAAGUUUUGUACCCUGGUUCUCCAAGAAGGAGCUGUACCUCCCCUAGUUGCAUUAUCUCAGUCUGGUACUCCAAGAGCUAAGGAAAAGGUAUGGAACUAAUCCUCUUGUCUUUGUCAUCUAUUUUGGUGGUCAAAUUUUUAUUUAGUGUGCAUAUACAAUUGUUUUGCUACAUUUUUAUGAGCUGUGUUACUCUUCUCUAGGAAAAUAGUGUUCAAAUCUUGGUGUUCAAUCAUGGUUACAGAAUCAAUUUGUUGAAACAAUGUGCUAAAAAAUCUGGCAUUCUAAUCUAUGUUCUGCAGUGCAUUCUUCCCCCAGCCUUGCCCCCAAAAACAGUGAAGAAGUAAGUUUUGACCCUUUUGUUUGGGAUUGUUGUUGAGAUAUUUUCCCUUUGAUCUGAUAUUUAUCAAGUAGAAAGAUAGGAGAAAGCAUAAUUCAUGCUCAAGAGAAAUAAUAAUUUUCACAAUGGACUUUUUAAGUAACACAAACUUAUGAAAAAGUAUACAAACAUUGAGGGGUGAUUGCAUACAGAGUCUCACAUCAUAAGCAUAAUCUGAAACGUGGAAGAAGUGCUAACAAUAUGUUCGCUUACAUGCAGGCACAACAGCUUCUCAGUCAUUUUCGUAAUCAGCGUGAAGGAGUCAAGGGGAAGGGGAAAUCAUGAAGAUAAGGCAAUUUUGAUCAUUUCAUUGCCCUUUUCACUCUUUCCUCAGUAACUCCCUAAUCUACAUCCACUUGAGGACUUUAGGGCUCCUUUACUCAUUUUUUUAAUUCUUUUUAAAUGUAUCAUUUGUGUUGUAGGCACAAACCUUUUUUUUUGUUUCCUGCAUUAGUAGGGUACCCCCCCACCCCAAUUUGUUUUGUUGGUUUUAAUGGCUUGGUUUCUUUCUAGUAGUGAGAUCUGUUUUGAAGAAAAGGUAAGCUAUUUCUGAAGCUUUAUGCUUUGGCGAGAUGUAAAAACAAAACACUGUUCUGUUGGAGUCAUAAGUCAUAACUGAUGCGGUUGUGAGUCACUGUUGUACAUAUUUGUAAAUAUGGUAUAGAAUCUUGUGAUGUACCAUAAAUUGUUGUACCUCAUUCGGCCAUGUGAGCAUUUUUUUUUUAAUUUAUUCAAUCCUGUUUCAAUCUAUGCUUUCACUUUGACUUGUAUAUAUUAUAAUAUUACUGACCUCACCCGUUCAGAGGUAUACAAAGUUGAUUACAUUCUGAGAGCUUCGAGUUCAAUCCAGGACCUUGUUGGCUAGCAUCAGGUCAUGCAUGUCUUGUUUGUUAAACAAGUAAUGCUCAAAAUUUAAGCUCAUCCAGAAAAUGAUUUAGAAAUGGUGCAUGGUACUAAGGGGUCUAACUCCGUUGAACAUAGUGUGUGAAUUGUUGAAACUCCUUUGAUAUAUACCAAAAAAAAAGACAUGAUGUAUGGCUAUUACUUAUUUUAUAUUGUUACAAUGUGUCUAUUUGAGAAUAAUUUGUCCUUGGGGAUGGUUACAUUAUCAUUAUACGGUUGAUAUUUGUCAAAUACUGGUGAAUAGAAUUUUAUAUGAUCAUGUGGUUCAAGGGUACAUAAUUUCUCCCUAAGACAGGUGCAACUAAUGCACCCAGGUUGGAAUUUGGUGAAAUGGGUCAUGCCCAAAGUUAAACUGAAGCAACCAAUUAUUAUUUCCAAAUUUAUGGGCAUAUUGGUUGUAAAAAACGGUGUGAAAACUAAUUGUAUAUGGGAUUUUUUUUUCCUGCACUUCCAUGCUUGAUUCAUGCACUUCCUAUAUUGCUUUCAGCACAUAGAAAGUGCAGGAAGGAAUUUUCCUAUAUAUCUUUGACAUUAUGUUCUACCUAUGUUUAUUUGGGAUCAAUGAUUGGGUCAUGUUCAUGACCAAAAAUUGAUUGGGCUUGUGAUCUUUUUGUUCUGUAGUGUCUUCCAGCCAUCAAUUUAGCAAAAGGAAACAAACAAAAUUGACACGAUCAAUACUCCGUAGUCAGAAGGGGGUAUGGUUCGUGGCCUACUACCACAUGUGUCUAUCAAUAUUCAAGUACUAACUAGGUAAAAAAGACGUACAAAUUUGUCCCAAAAACUUAAAAGCAAUUCAAUGUGUUCUAUCAAUCCUUCCUUAACGAGGGAGAAAGAAAAAAUGUAAUGGUUAUGUACUCUAAUGCAAAAACUUUACUUAAAUGCCACCGUAAAAAGAAAGUAAAAAAGAGGAAAAGAAAAAGCUAUUAUUUUUUUUUGGAAAAGAAAAAGCUAUUAUACCAUUGUCUAAAUCGCUUUGAUAGGAAAUUAAUGUGUCACUUUGCUUUGACGUGCCCAAAGUUUUCUCAGAUCUUAACCUUAUAACCUUAAUAAUCAUUCAGGAAUAUAUUCCAUUUAUUGUCACUUUGAAAAUCUGCAAGAAACACAUGUUGAAGAAAACCUCAGUUGAAAAACACUACAAACACCAGUAUUAUUCUUUGCUUUUCCUCGAGAAAAGAGAAACAUGAAAAUAACGCGGGCAGAUUUGCCUCAUAUGCACGAUGCCCAGACUUUGAUCGUUCAAUUUGGAUGGGAAUUUACCUAAAUUAUUAUGGGCAAUUUGAAAUUACAAAAUACCCAUUCAGUGCACUUGAACUAACUAUGUUUUGCAAGCAAAGAAGGCAUUUGAUGCCGAAAGAAAAGCAUGAUUUCCCUCUAGUCCAAAGUUAGAAAGACAUUCUCUGAUAUAUAGUUGAAAUAUAUUAAAAAUUAUGAAAGUAGAAAUGAGGUUUUUUAAAUAAGAUGUAAGGCAUUAUUUCACCAACAAAAUCUACCAUAAUUAGUAUAAUUAGGAGAUAGUUAAGUCUUUUUAUUUUUUUUAUGAAUAGAAAUUAAACUCAGAUAUUACAAAUUUAUAAUACUUCACAUACAUUCAAUUAAUUGAGCUAGAUUCUCAUAGUCGAGUCUAUAAAACAUGCUGUAAAAAAUUCAAUACUAAAUAAUUUUUAUAAAAUACUUCAUUAAGAGAGAUAAUACACACUUCAUUUAUCUAUAAAAACUACAAAAACAUCAUUUCAUGUGUUUCAAUAAAUUUUAACUAUUAAUAGCGUGUUUUAAAAAAUAUUAAAAAUUGUGUUACUAAUAUUUUUCUAAAGUUUUACAACUAGUAAUUUUGUUGACAUGCAUAAAUAAAUAAACUUCCACUUAGACUAGUUUUUGGUUAGCAAAUAAAAGUGGAAUCCAUUAUCUUUAUACAUAUCAUUUUCAUCUUUUAUUCUCGCCUACUUUCUUUCUUGAAAAUCUUUUGGUACUUCUUCUUCCAAAACAUUUAUCACAUUUAAAGUUUUAAGGUUUCAAUUUUUUAAAAUUAAGCUGAUAAUUGUUUUUUCUUUCUAACUUUAUCUAGCUUUUACUGAUUAUUUGGUUUAAAAAACAUAAGAAAUAAUUAGGCCAUAUUUAAUAUGAUAUUUUUUAUAUGCAAAUUUUAAAAAGUAAUUAAAAACAUUUUCCUAAACAGAAUAUCACUUAAAAGUUUCCUCAUUACGUUUGAUUAAAAGAAAAUAUUUAUCAGUUUGCUUGGAGAGGAGGAGGAAAGUAAAAGUUAAUUAUUAUUAACAUCUUUUAUGCAUGUCGUCCCUGUAAGGCUUUUUACAUUAUUUUUUUUAUGUAGUCCCUUUUUGUCUUAUGAAAUCAAGAGCAAAUUGGAAGUGAGAAAGUGGUGAUGGAAAGCACUGAUCGGAGUAAUGUUAUUGGUGGAGAUGCUUUGCUUCUUUGGUGAAAUUGAAGGUGCCCUAACUGGGAGACAAAAAUGUGCCUUAGCAUGUUUGUAGUUGAAUGCGUAUUUGUGGGUCGAGACUCCAUUGUCACAAAAGUCGUCAAUACAAAAAAUAAUUAAGAAAGAAAAUGAGGAAACAAUGACAGGGGAAGAGUGUGAUAGCAGGGUACAAGGGGGUCACUUGAAUAAAGAGAUGCGUAAAUGUUGUAAAUUUUAUGUUCAAUUCAUGUAAAAAUAAUAAUAAUAAUAACAAAGUUACCAACGUUUAUCCAACAUUCAAAUGACCCGCUUCACAAAUAAUUUACAGAAAAUAUUAAAUUGUUUAAAAUGUAUCCUUUUAAUGUUUUUUAAAUAUAAAAUUAUUUAUUAAACUGUCAUAACUAAUUUUCAUUUAAUAAUUUUUCAAUUAAUAUUAAUGUUAAUUCAUUUGAUCUUUCUUCACUCUUGAGAGAUGAUUGAUCUUUUGUAAGAUUUUUAUUAUUUCUAACAGUAAGACAACUUUUAUUCUAGUAUUAAAAAAGACAAAUAAAAGGUUGAUAGGUAAUGAAAAUUAAAUGAAGGCCAUUUUAUUAUUAAUUAAUUUAAUUAAAAUUUGGGAAUGUUUACAGACCAAUAAAAAGUGAAACAAGAUUUUUGAAGUUUAUUAUUUAAAGUGCUUGCCUAAAAAAUGUAUAUUUCAAUUAAGAUUAGUACUGUCAAAGAUAUAGAUAAAAUAUAGUUGCUAACUAAUAUAGAAAACGAUAAAAUGUGGCUUAUUUUAAACGAAAAUAAAUACUUUAAGUAUUAAAAGCUAAUUAAAUGUUAUUUAUUUAUUGUUAAAAUAAAACAUAAAUAAAUAACAUGUUCCAGGGUUUUAUUUAUUUGGAGAAAUGGAGGUUAAAAGCAAGUGUUUUAUUUACUUUAGGUCCGUAGGAUAGUCGGAAGAGUUUGGGAGGGUGGAAAAGUUGAAGACAGCUUUUUUUUAAGCAAGCUGAAGACAGGUUAGUCAGCACAAAACACAUAUCUUAAGUCCUUUUUUUCUCUUUUAAAUAUAAUCUCUUUAAUUUUAUGUAAAGAAAAAUUCAUUAACUUUUGGAAGAGGAAAAGAAAAGCAUUCGACUAUUUCUCUCCCCCCCAGGCUCUAGCCUCCAAAACCAACCAAUUUUUUUUUUAUUUUAUAAAAAAUGUGUAUUUUGAUUUUUCCCUUCCUUUUUAUUUCUCUCACCAAAUAAUAGAUUAAUAUCUUCAAUAAGUAAGAUAAAAAGUAUUAAUAAAAUAAGAGAAUAGUAUUGCAAAAAGAACAUAUUUUGAAAUUGAAAAUAUUCAAUACUUUUAAUUGUCAUACAAAAAUAUUAAAUGACAAUCAUUUUAAAUAAUAUUAUAAAUGAAGCAAGGUUUUGAAGAUUCCUUUAUCUUUUUGCAGUGAGGUUGCAAGUUGAAAAGCUCAAGGAUCUGCAGCAACUUGAAGAAUUCAUUAAUUAGACAGCAGUUAAAGUGCUUGUUUCUUCCUUAAAGAUCUCUAUUGAUUGCUUAUGGAACAUGAAUCAACCAGCUGUCUAUGAUCUGUAUUAUUGUUUUGUGGGUACAGAACAGCAGGGCUAAGUCGUAUUUGUAGUUAAGUCCCUGAAUCCUUAGUACCAUUCACAUAACUAAGAUUGGGUCCACUCAAGUGCAUUAGCUUUUCUCAUGAAAGCCUUUCCUUAUCUCCAAAUCAAAUCAAAUUAUUAAGCAUUACAACCCUCUUUUACUUCAGUUAAAUCAUUGACAGUUUAUUAUAUAUGUGGUCCACAAACAGUUGGUAUUGAAUUUUAUAUAAUUAUAAUUAUUUUAUUUUUAAUUAAUAUAUAUCUUAGAAGAAUAUUUUUUUUAAAAAAAAUAAAGGCAAUAUAAAUUGUCGUACUUUAAUUGUAAAAAAAUAUUUAUUAAUAAUUAAUUAUGAUUUCUUCCAAUCCUAAUUUUAGACGACUCUACGUGUUAACUCCUGUUGACACAUUUGGUCAAGUCUUUCGACUACAUUAAUUAACUGUGAUUUGAGUUCUAUUUUAGAUUUUUCUUGUUGGCGGAUUAAUGAUAUAUAAAUUUCAUUGUAAAUAUUAGACGAGAUGGGUUAUCUCUAUUUGGCGUUAGAAGGGCAUGCCUUUUCCUAAUAUAUAUAUUUUUUUAGUAAAAAGAAAAAAAGAGAGUUGACUCUAUGUUGAAUAUAUUAUAUACUAAAUUUAAUGUAUUUUGCAAGAUGAAUGACAUUGAAAUUGUUAGAGGAGCGAAUGACAAAAAUGCAUGUCCUUAAGUUGGAGUUGUACUUCAAGUUCCAUCAUGGGUGUACUGCCAAGUGAAGUGAAAACAUGGCCUUCAUUGUGUUCACUGUUUUCUCAACUUACAACAUUUAUGCAAUCCUGCUUCCCCUCCCAAUUAAUAGUGACAGAACAAACGGCCUGAUUACUUCAAUUAUGAAUUAUCAAUGGUUACUUACCACAGUCUAACACCACUAUUAAUAACUUGAAAGCUCAUUGUCACAUCAUUUACCAGCUUUUUUCCUUCACCUGCUACGUACCACCGACACAUAUUCGGGAUUUGAAAACAAUAUAGCAAUAAAAUUAUAAAUAUAAGAUUAAAGUAUCAAAAUUGUUGUGAUUAUUAUUGUCAUGGGUAUGUAUUAUAUCAAAUACUUUUACUGAGUUUUACAUAUAUAUUUAUAUAUUUGCUUAUUUUUUAAUUUCUAUGACAAUAUAAAUGUGAUAUAAUAUUAAUUAAAUGAAUAAUAAUAUUUCAUUAUAUAGUAAUCAAUAAAGUUGACAUAUAAAACAUUAAAUUUGUGUAAUGGAGUUAAUAAAUAUUAUAUAGAUGUAUGUUGUAUUGAAAUUCACUUUUUUGUUAUUUCUUUUUAAGUUAUUCCUUCAAAACGAUAUCAUUUUGAGAGUUAUGUUAAUAUUUUUAUUGCUUGAAAUAUGACAACUGAAAAGUGAAGUCCAUGUUGUAUUAUAUCUCAGUCAUGUCUCA